RNAcentral lists this ribosomal RNA (216 nucleotides) under Glomeromycotina sp. Its description in RNAcentral is "partial small subunit ribosomal RNA". The stretch from base 40 to 216 matches the Rfam family "Eukaryotic small subunit ribosomal RNA", at positions 686 to 864 of the family's 1831-position model. Lineage: Eukaryota; Fungi; Glomeromycota. The record is from RNAcentral.
GGGUCAGUAGGUUGGUCGUGCCACCGGUACGUACUGGUCUCACUGAUUCCUCCUUCCUGAAGAACCGUAAUGCCAUUAAUUUGGUGUUGCGGGGAAACAGGACUGUUACUUUGAAAAAAUUAGAGUGUUUAAAGCAAGCUAGCGCUUGAAUACAUUAGCAUGGAAUAAUAAAAUAGGACGAUCGAUCCUAUUUUGUUGGUUUCUAGGAUUGACGUA